RNAcentral lists this ribosomal RNA (253 nucleotides) under uncultured bacterium. RNAcentral describes it as "partial 16S ribosomal RNA". It matches the Rfam family "Bacterial small subunit ribosomal RNA", at positions 524 to 776 of the family's 1533-position model. The record is from RNAcentral.
UACGGAGGGUGCAAGCGUUAUCCGGAUUCACUGGGUUUAAAGGGUGCGUAGGUGGGCAAGUAAGUCAGUGGUGAAAUCUCCGGGCUUAACCCGGAAACUGCCAUUGAUACUAUUUGUCUUGAAUACUGUGGAGGUCAGCGGAAUAUGUCAUGUAGCGGUGAAAUGCUUAGAUAUGACAUAGAACACCAAUUGCGAAGGCAGCUCACUACACAAUCAUUGACUCUGAGGCACGAAAGCGUGGGGAUCAAACAGG